RNA transcript from Selaginella moellendorffii, 2321 nucleotides. RefSeq lists it as uncharacterized. The record is from RefSeq and is a predicted model, not a curated record. The transcript is spliced from 3 exons. Lineage: Eukaryota; Viridiplantae; Streptophyta; Lycopodiopsida; Selaginellales; Selaginellaceae.
UUAAACUAUUUUAUUUUUACUUAACUAAACAAAAAUAUAACAAACUAAGCCUGGAUCUAAAUAAUAAAUAAUAUCCUCGAAGAAUCUUAGGGCACUUGCAGGGCGGGCGCUGCUUUGGUGCCACUAAAUCUCGAUAGAAUGGUGCCUCUCAUACAAAAUCUAUGAGUGUCAGUGGAUUCCCACAAUUUGGCUGAGAAUCCGGUUGGAUGCACCACACUCCAAUGCGAAGCAGCUUCUCGGCCUUAGAGACCGAAGCUUCUCAAACCGCCAGGAACUUUGGGCUCCUCCCGCAAGACACACAGGUAUGGAAAGCGCCACUUCCAGCACAAGGAUCCCAAAGCUGUAGAUGUCCAGUUUGUCUCUCACUCGCAUCUGCAACCAUUCCGGAGCCAUGUAUCCGGGUGUUCCUCAGAUCAUUGUCAUGACAUCGCUUAGAUCUCCUUGCUCUACCAUCCUCGACAGUCCAAACUCUGCUAUCUUGACACCAAAGUUUUCGUCCAGGAGUAGGUUUUGCGGCUUGAUGUCCAAGUGCAGAACUCUAGUGCUGCAUUCCUCGUGGAGGUAGCACAUCCCUCGAGCAAUCUCCUCGACUAUCUUGAAUCUCGUGUCUUCCCGCGGCUUGUACCCGUUUGCUACGUACUCGUAAACCAGGAAGUAGUGUGAUUCCUGGGAAAAAAAGCCUUUGAGUCUUACAAGGUUCUUGUGAUGGAUGAUUCCGAUCGCUCUCACCUCCGCCUUGAACUGUUUGUAUCCUUGGCUCGAGAAGCUCUCCAGCCGUUUCACGGCAACGGAGAGUAUCCCUUCGAAAACCGUGCCAACGCCUCCACUUGCGAUUUUCGCACUGAAGGCUUUGGUUGCAGUGAGGAGCUCCGGGUAAUUAAAGACGCGCACCAACGAUGGUUUGUAGUGUUUGAGGUACGAGUUUAUCUGUUUCUUCCAGGUCACCAUUGCGAUGAUGAUUAUAGCCAUGGUCGCCACAGAGAAAACCGCGACGAUGGCUGGCUUUGCCUGUUUUUGCUACUUGGCGACUUUGUGAGUUGCCUGGUGUUGAGAGCUUUGGAAGAUCUCCAGCUUGGUACAACUUGAUCGAAAACAGCAAAGCUUCAUCGACGACGUUGCGAGUUUUGUUCAGAGAAAAAACUUCGGUCAUCUGGAAACAGGUAGUUGUUUCUCCUGGCUUAGCACCCCUUUGCAGGAACAGUUUUUGAUACACAGGGCCAUGCACGCUGCUGGAGUGACGUUGUGGAGCGCACUGGAUAAAUCUAGAGGUUUGUAGAAGUAUCGUACUGUGGCUUCGAGCAUGUAGUGAUGUUGCGAGUUCUCGCAGGUUCUUCCAGGUGCUUGCAUCCCUCCUUGUCCCCGGAAGAAACGUACUUCGUGAACGAUGCAGAGGUAUCCUUCAGCUGUCUCGAACGAGAUCCCACAGGUUCGAGUAAGCGAGCUUUUCCCAAAGAAGAGCGGGUUUAAGUUGAUGCUCUUCGUGCUGUUGCCGGUGCUGAAUGAUCUCGAGUAACACCACCGAUCGUUGGAGUGGACCACAUAACACCUUUCGUCCCGUGGAUUUCCAAGCUGCUAUUGACGAGGAAGAGAAAUGAUAUCUCUUCUUCUUCCUCAUCGGAGCUCCAGACCUCUCCAAAAGAUUCUCAACAUACUGGAGUUCAAAGCGACCGAGAAGCGGCUACCUCGAGUGAGAAGUACCCUGGCUCUUUGUUCUCCUUAGAGAUGCUGGCUACUAACUUCAUCCCAGGGAGCACAGCAUCACAGGGAUGAUCAAAGCUCUGCCACAGGAAAUCUCCAAUUUUGCUCCGGAUGACGAGAUUUCCAGAGCUCUCGAGGGCCAAGACUUGCGCUCCAGAUCCUCCUGUGUUGGUCGACCACACAAAGCUUCCAAUGUCACUGGAAGCGCCAUCUUCCUCCAAGCUCCACUCUCGAAUCCACUCCAGAUAUUUCGAAUUAGCCUUGGCUUUAGCACCCCUUCCUGCCUCCUACUUAGCUGCUGGGAGCAAACCUCCCAAGAGUUCCAGUUCUACUUGUCAGUCUUCUACGCCAUGGACGACAAGGAGAGUUUCAAUCUCUACUAUCUAGCAGCGCUGACAUGGCGAGCUACGCGAAAACCGUCCCGGAAGGAGCGUACCUCAGCUUUACCAGCGAUGGCGACCUGGUGCUGAGCGACGUGAACUAGAAUGAGGACUUGUUCAAAGCUACUUGUCUCCCAAUGGACGAUCCAGCAGCAGUGGCAUGGCAAGCUACCUUACAAACUCAGUUGAAAAAAGUAAAAGUAUAGCGAAAAUCUUGUAAAAAUAUAAAAGUUGUAGAGAGUA